RNAcentral lists this unclassified non-coding RNA (310 nucleotides) under uncultured fungus. RNAcentral describes it as "partial contains 5.8S ribosomal RNA and internal transcribed spacer 2". The stretch from base 1 to 133 matches the Rfam family "5.8S ribosomal RNA", at positions 22 to 154 of the family's 154-position model. Lineage: Eukaryota; Fungi. The record is from RNAcentral.
UGGUUCUGGCAUCGAUGAAGAACGCAGCGAAAUGCGAUAAGUAAUGUGAAUUGCAGGAUUCAGUGAAUCAUCGAAUCUUUGAACGCACAUUGCGCCCUUUGGUAUUCCGAGGGGCACGCCUGUUCGAGCGUCAUUUAAACCAUCAAGCACCGCUUGGUAUUGGACGUGGUCAGAGGACCCGUCUGCAACUAGUUGGCGGUACCGUCCGGCUUCAAGCGUAUCAAUUUCUCGCUUCAGGGGCUCGUGGCGGUGCCUGCCAGGCAACCUCAACCCAAAGUUUGACCUCGGAUCAGGUGGGGAUACCCGCUGA